ACGGGAGGCAGCAGUGGGGAAUAUUGCACAAUGGGCGAAAGCCUGAUGCAGCGACGCCGCGUGAGCGAUGAAGUAUUUCGGUAUGUAAAGCUCUAUCAGCAGGGAAGAUAAUGACGGUACCUGACUAAGAAGCACCGGCUAAAUACGUGCCAGCAGCCGCGGUAAUACGUAUGGUGCAAGCGUUAUCCGGAUUUACUGGGUGUAAAGGGAGCGCAGGCGGUACGGCAAGUCUGAUGUGAAAGCCCGGGGCUCAACCCCGGUACUGCAUUGGAAACUGUCGAACUAGAGUGUCGGAGGGGUAAGUGGAAUUCCUAGUGUAGCGGUGAAAUGCGUAGAUAUUAGGAGGAACACCGGUGGCGAAGGCGGCUUUCUGGACAGUUACUGACGCUGAGGCGCGAAAGCGUGGGGAGCAAACAGGAUUAGAUACCCUGGUA
This 434-nucleotide ribosomal RNA is filed under the name uncultured Roseburia sp. RNAcentral's name for it is "partial 16S ribosomal RNA". It matches the Rfam family "Bacterial small subunit ribosomal RNA", at positions 341 to 792 of the family's 1533-position model. Lineage: Bacteria; Bacillati; Bacillota; Clostridia; Lachnospirales; Lachnospiraceae. The record is from RNAcentral.